This 248-nucleotide unclassified non-coding RNA is filed under the name plant metagenome. RNAcentral describes it as "partial contains small subunit ribosomal RNA and internal transcribed spacer 1". The stretch from base 1 to 46 matches the Rfam family "Eukaryotic small subunit ribosomal RNA", at positions 1786 to 1831 of the family's 1831-position model. The record is from RNAcentral.
AAGUCGUAACAAGGUUUCCGUAGGUGAACCUGCGGAAGGAUCAUUAAAGAGAAAGGGGCUUAAAAAUCCCCGACCUACCAAACCCUCUGUUAGUUAAACUACUUUGUUGCUUUGGCGGGACCGUUCGGUCUUUCCGAACCUCUCAGGGACCCUCACGGGUUUCCGGGGGAGCUCCCGCCAUGAGUUUAAACCAAACUCUUGUUAUAUAAACCGGUCGUCUGAGUAAAAUUUUUGAUUAAAUUCAAAAC